UACGGGGGGGGCAAGCGUUGUUCGGAAUUACUGGGCGUAAAGGGCUCGUAGGUUGCCAACUAAGUCGGACGUGAAAUCCCUCAGCUUAACUGGGGAACUGCGUCCGAUACUGGAUGGCUUGAGUUUGGGAGAGGGAUGCGGAAUUCCAGGUGUAGCGGUGAAAUGCGUAGAUAUCUGGAGGAACACCGGUGGCGAAGGCGGCAUCCUGGACCAACACUGACACUGAGGAGCGAAAGCCAGGGGAGCAAACGGG
Molecule: ribosomal RNA, 253 nt
Filed under: uncultured bacterium
Lineage: Bacteria
Description: partial 16S ribosomal RNA
Rfam family: Bacterial small subunit ribosomal RNA
Source: RNAcentral